This 128-nucleotide small nucleolar RNA is filed under the name Sorex araneus (European shrew). Its description in RNAcentral is "Small nucleolar RNA SNORA40 (ENSSARG00000016736.1)". It matches the Rfam family "Small nucleolar RNA SNORA40". Rfam says of the family: The snoRNA ACA 40 belongs to the H/ACA family of snoRNAs and guides the pseudouridylation of 28S rRNA subunit at position U4565. Lineage: Eukaryota; Metazoa; Chordata; Mammalia; Eulipotyphla; Soricidae. The record is from RNAcentral.
AGCACCUAUGUGGGUGUUUGUCUGACAUGUGAACAAAAACUUGGAGACAGGUGCAAAAACUAAAUCCUCUUCUGUAACCCAGAACUCAUUGUUCUGUACGAGUUCUGAUACCGAUAAGAGGGAACAUG